GUGGGGAAUUUUGGACAAUGGGCGCAAGCCUGAUCCAGCAAUGCCGCGUGCAGGAAGAAGGCCUUCGGGUUGUAAACUGCUUUUGUACGGAACGAAACGGUCCUGGUUAAUACCUGGGGCUAAUGACGGUACCGUAAGAAUAAGCACCGGCUAACUACGUGCCAGCAGCCGCGGUAAUACGUAGGGUGCGAGCGUUAAUCGGAAUUACUGGGCGUAAAGCGUGCGCAGGCGGUGCUGUAAGACAGGCGUGAAAUCCCCGGGCUCAACCUGGGAAUUGCGCUUGUGACUGCAGUGCUGGAGUACGGCAGAGGGGGAUGGAAUUCCGCGUGUAGCAGUGAAAUGCGUAGAUAUGCGGAGGAACACCGAUGGCGAAGGCAGUCCCCUGGGCCUGUACUGACGCUCAUGCACGAAAGCGUGGGGAGCAAACAGGAUUAGAUACCCUGGUAGUCCA
This 451-nucleotide ribosomal RNA is filed under the name uncultured bacterium. RNAcentral's name for it is "partial 16S ribosomal RNA". It matches the Rfam family "Bacterial small subunit ribosomal RNA", at positions 354 to 797 of the family's 1533-position model. The record is from RNAcentral.